AAUUCUCAACCUUGAAAGGCUUGUCUUUUCAAUGGCUUGGAUGUGAGGGUUUUGCUGGCUUCCUUUAGUGGAUGGUCUGCUCCCUUUAAAAGCAUUAGUGGGAUCCUUUGUGGACGGUCACUUGGUGUGAUAAUUAUCUACGCCGUUUGUACUGUGAAGCAAAACUUGUGGGAACCUGCUUAUAACCGUCUGUAAUGGACAAUUUUGAAC
RNAcentral lists this unclassified non-coding RNA (210 nucleotides) under Mycena sp. RNAcentral's name for it is "partial internal transcribed spacer 2". Lineage: Eukaryota; Fungi; Basidiomycota; Agaricomycetes; Agaricales; Mycenaceae. RNAcentral also lists the same sequence under 1 other name. The record is from RNAcentral.